This 724-nucleotide ribosomal RNA is filed under the name uncultured Fusobacterium sp. Its description in RNAcentral is "bacterial SSU rRNA". It matches the Rfam family "Bacterial small subunit ribosomal RNA", at positions 28 to 776 of the family's 1533-position model. Lineage: Bacteria; Fusobacteriati; Fusobacteriota; Fusobacteriia; Fusobacteriales; Fusobacteriaceae. The record is from RNAcentral.
GAUGAACGCUGACAGAAUGCUUAACACAUGCAAGUCGACUCGAGUCUUCGGACUUGGGUGGCGCACGGGUGAGUAACGCGUAAAGAACUUGCCUCUUAGACCGGGACAACAUCUGGAAACGGAUGCUAAUACCGGAUAUUAUGGUUUUUUCGCAUGGAGGAAUCAUGAAAGCUGGAUGCGCUAAGAGAGAGCUUUGCGUCCCAUUAGCUAGUUGGUGAGGUAACGGCCCACCAAGGCAAUGAUGGGUAGCCGGCCUGAGAGGGUGAACGGCCACAAGGGGACUGAGACACGGCCCUUACUCCUACGGGAGGCAGCAGUGGGGAAUAUUGGACAAUGGACCACAAGUCUGAUCCAGCAAUUCUGUGUGCACGAUGACGUUUUUCGGAAUGUAAAGUGCUUUCAGUCGGGAAGAAGUCAGUGACGAUACCGACAGAAGAAGCGACGGCUAAAUACGUGCCAGCAGCCGCGGUAAUACGUAUGUCGCAAGCGUUAUCCGGAUUUAUUGGGCGUAAAGCGCGUCUAGGCGGCAAGGAAAGUCUGAUGUGAAAAUGCGGAGCUCAACUCCGUAUGGCGUUGGAAACUGCCUUACUAGAGUACUGGAGAGGUAGGCGGAACUACAAGUGUAGAGGUGAAAUUCGUAGAUAUUUGUAGGAAUGCCGAUGGGGAAGCCAGCCUACUGGACAGAUACUGACGCUAAAGCGCGAAAGCGUGGGUAGCAAACAGG